UAUGGAUAUAUAUUUGUUCUAGAAUGUGACUGUGGAUUUUGGUCAGGAGGAUGCCACUAUAACGCAUAUGGUGAAAAAAUUUGCAACUGUAUGACUGAUUACGCUCAAAACAAUGAAAAGUGUGAACGGUGUUAUUGUGGAAGCCAUGCUACAUCGUGCACUUUCAAAAA
Molecule: non-coding RNA, 170 nt
Organism: Parasteatoda tepidariorum (common house spider)
Lineage: Eukaryota; Metazoa; Arthropoda; Arachnida; Araneae; Theridiidae
Source: RefSeq, a predicted model, not a curated record